CCUACGGGAGGCAGCAGUGGGGAAUAUUGGUCAAUGGGCGCAAGCCUGACCCAGCAACGCCGCGUGAAGGAAGAAGGCUUUCGGGUUGUAAACUUCUUUUCUGAGGGACGAAGAAAGUGACGGUACCUCAGGAAUAAGCCACGGCUAACUACGUGCCAGCAGCCGCUGUAAUACGUAGGUGGCAAGCGUUAUCCGGAUUUAUUGGGUGUAAAGGGCGUGUAGGCGGGAAAGCAAGUCAGAUGUGAAAACUCAGGGCUCAACCCUGAGCCUGCAUUUGAAACUGUUGUUCUUGAGUGCUGGAGAGGCAAUCGGAAUUCCGUGUGUAGCGGUGAAAUGCGUAGAUAUAAGGAGGAACACCAGUGGCGAAGGCAGAUUGCUGGACAGUAACUGACGCUGAGGCGCGAAAGCGUGGGGAGCAAACAGGAUUAGAUACCCUAGUAGUC
RNAcentral lists this ribosomal RNA (443 nucleotides) under uncultured bacterium. RNAcentral's name for it is "partial 16S ribosomal RNA". It matches the Rfam family "Bacterial small subunit ribosomal RNA", at positions 338 to 795 of the family's 1533-position model. The record is from RNAcentral.